AUCUAGUGAUGUUUGUGAUAUGUAUUCACCUGUACAUUUAUAAAACAUGGUCGAUAUGUUUAGCAUACGACAAUACUACCUACGGCUCUAUUAAAAUGUGCUCUAGGAAAGAGAAUAAAGCACUUCCUUCUUGAAAAUCAUCGAGUGUAGUUGGUUAUAGUUGAUCAUCCGAAUCCUGAAAAUUAAAAAAGAAAAUUAAAUUAAUAGACAUAAAAAGUGGCGACGAGGAGAAAUUUAUUUUGAUAAAGUGAGAUCUUGAGCGCGAUAACGUUGGUGGUAAAAAUUUGGAGUGAUUUUUACGGAACGAGCGGCAAGGGUCGACGAAUUAAAUUAUAAGACGACAACGUGUCCCGUGGAAGGGCAGCCAUUGAGCUUUUAGGCUUGGAUGAAGCAGCGGACAAGUGAAACAUUUCCUGUGGAAGCAGUUUUCGGUUGCUGAAAGGCGACACUAUUGUGUUGGCCUUGGAAGGUGUCCAAUCAACGGUAGCGGUGGGACGGACAUCACACGUUUCAGAGCAGAGUGGAAAUUAGAUACGGCUGGAGUUUUCAGCGGCCAUCGUGAUUUGUCGUAGGGUUAGCAUCUUCGUAUUCGCAGACCCUGUCAGCUUGGAGCGAAAUCAAUCUUCAGUUUAGCAACGCCAUCGCACGGCAUCACAUUCAUCUUAUCAUGUCAGUUGUAUGGGAGAUUCGAUGCGGACUCGCCUGAUGGCGCCCUGCUCACAAAAAAGGAUGUUGCCAAAUAUUUGUUCGGAAAAUGCGAGAGCUGGAUAUCUUGUUAAUAUGAUGUCUUUGGUAUUCGGUAGAAUAUUGAUAAAGGUCUCGUUUCGGACAGUGGUUGAGGAAGAUAACAAAAAUUUCACACGGAAGAGUUGUGUUAAAAGAUUUUUUUCGGUAAAAUUGCUGACAAAGGUCGGACAUAGUAUCUGGUAAGUCAUUUAUGAUUAUUUUAUGCAAAGUGAAGCCGAUUGAUGAGACAUUUCGUUUUUUCCCAUUUCAUAUUUUUCCCCAUUGAUUGAUUGAUAUUGAACAUUGUUAUUCCGUUUAUUGGGCAUGAUAAUUUGAUUAUUUAUAUUGUUAUAGUUGUUUUUU
Long non-coding RNA from Malaya genurostris, 1089 nucleotides. RefSeq lists it as uncharacterized. The record is from RefSeq and is a predicted model, not a curated record. The transcript is spliced from 3 exons. Lineage: Eukaryota; Metazoa; Arthropoda; Insecta; Diptera; Culicidae.